AUGGAGGUGUUUCUGAAUCUACUCUCUUAUUUCAAUCAUCGUUUUGACUUUGGGAUAAUGAUGCAAAUUCAAAUGAUUGAGGUUGCUUUUACUCACUGUAUCGAUCUUGCUGCAAACUUCAGCAGAAUGAAGUCGAUGACAAACAAUAUCUCGACCUUUCCACCAUCAGGUGCUCAAAUUAUCCAUCACUGUAUUGAUUAG
Vicia faba (fava bean) is the source of this 201-nucleotide non-coding RNA. The record is from the annotation of a GenBank genome assembly. Lineage: Eukaryota; Viridiplantae; Streptophyta; Magnoliopsida; Fabales; Fabaceae.